RNAcentral lists this ribosomal RNA (703 nucleotides) under uncultured bacterium. RNAcentral's name for it is "bacterial SSU rRNA". It matches the Rfam family "Bacterial small subunit ribosomal RNA", at positions 1 to 689 of the family's 1533-position model. The record is from RNAcentral.
AAUUCGAUUGAGUUUGAUCAUGGCUCAGGACGAACGCUGGCGGCGUGCUUAACACAUGCAAGUGGAGCGACGAACCAGGCUUCGGCCUGGGGCAAAGCCGCGAACGGGUGAGUAACACGUGGGUAACCUGCCCUGAUGAUCGGGACAACCCGGGGAAACCCGGGCUAAUACCGAAUGUGCCCGCGGGCCACAAGGCUCGCGCGGAAAGGAAGCUUCGGCCUCCGCAUCGGGAUGGGCCCGCGGCCCAUUAGCUUGUUGGUGGGGUAAUGGCCUACCAAGGCAGCAAGGGGUAGCUGGUCUGAGAGGACGAUCAGCCACACUGGGACUGAGACACGGCCCAGACUCCUACGGGAGGCAGCAGUGGGGAAUCUUGCGCAAUGCGCGAAAGCGUGACGCAGCAACGCCGCGUGGGGGAAGACGGCCUUCGGGUUGUAAACCCCUUUCAGUUGGGACGAAGCUCCGUCGGUGAAUAGCCGGCUGGAGUGACGGUACCUUCAGAAGAAGCCCCGGCUAACUACGUGCCAGCAGCCGCGGUAAUACGUAGGGGGCAAGCGUUGUCCGGAAUCAUUGGGCGUAAAGAGCGUGUAGGCGGCCCGAUAAGUCCGCCGUGAAAGUCCAGGGCUCAACCCUGGAAUGCCGGUGGAUACUGUCGGGCUAGAGUCCGGAAGGGGCGAGUGGAAUUCCUGGUGUAGCGGUGAAAUGC